CCACUUACACCGGAAGCCUCUGACACGGAUAGGAAAGCAAAAAUUAGCCUACAAUAACUAAAUUUGAACAAGUUGCGGAUAAACUAUUUCAUCAGACAUAUUCCGGUACUUUAAUGGGAACCGUUUCAGAAAUUCGUCGUAAGGGUGCUCUGACAACUCGGAUGACCAAAUCCUUGCACUGUUCUUAGAAGGAUACGUUAUCCAGCCAAGAAAAUCUGAAUUAAACACCGUGUUUCUCCAGUGUGUUAAUGUAGAGAUACUUCCGAACCUGCAGAUGUCACGUUACUUUGAGAGACAAAAAGAAUUGAUUCUCUGAGCAAUACAAUGCUCAAAACAGUUUGUUACACAGAGCUGUUAUUGUGAAAAAGAAAGAUAAUACUGUCCCAUCUAUGAGAUAUAACAUUUCAAAUAACAAAUUUACAUCGCUUAAAUAAAUCGCUCAUUGUAGUGAAUAAUG
Long non-coding RNA from Biomphalaria glabrata, 457 nucleotides. RefSeq lists it as uncharacterized. NCBI's taxonomy places the organism in Eukaryota, Metazoa, Mollusca, Gastropoda, Planorbidae. The record is from RefSeq and is a predicted model, not a curated record. The transcript is spliced from 2 exons.